RNAcentral lists this ribosomal RNA (254 nucleotides) under uncultured bacterium. Its description in RNAcentral is "partial 16S ribosomal RNA". It matches the Rfam family "Bacterial small subunit ribosomal RNA", at positions 524 to 776 of the family's 1533-position model. The record is from RNAcentral.
UACGGAGGGUGCAAGCAUUAAUCGGAUUUAUUGGGCGUAAAGGGCGCGUAGGCGGAGUGAAAAGUCAGAUGUGAAAUCCCGGGGCUCAACCUCGGAACAGCAUUUGAAACUGUCACCCUAGAGGGUAGGCGGAGAAAACGGAAUUCCACAAGUAGCGGUAAAAUGCGUAGAUAUGUGGAAGAACACCGGUGGCGAAGGCGGGUCUCUGGGCAACAACUGGACGCUGAGGAGCGAAAGCGUGGGGAGCGAACAGG